AAGGAGAUGAGGUCGUGGGGGAGGAAGGAGAAGAGGGCAUGAAAUUCAUGGGGGAAUAAGAAGAGGAGGCCAUGGAGGUCGUGGGAGAGAGGGCAGGAGGCCACGGGGGAGGAAGAAGAUGCCCCCUUGUUUCUGAAGUUGGUCUUCGCCUCAAAUGCGAUGGCUGCUCCCAGUUGUGAUUGGACAUUCCUGUUCAUUGGUUGCUACUCAUAUGAGAUUUUUUUUUCAUUUUCCCUACAGAUUGGUCCGAUUUGAGCGGAUUCUCUUCCUCUUGGUCGGUCCCCUGGAUGUGCCUCCCUUGAUCUCUGCCUGCACAUUCUUUAUAAGCACCCUCCUGCGUCUCCGUUCAUGGAUCGACAGAAGAGAAUUUUCUUCUUUGCCAAAGAUUAGCUAUUGUCGGAUAAUUUGCAUGUCAUGGUGGACAUCAGUUGUAAAUUGCAAAGGAGAGCUACUAAUCUUAUUAUAGGUGCAUGGGCACUUGCCGCUGCAGCCAGAGUUGCCACCAAAUCAGAUUAGAAGUUUUUCAAACAGAUUCCUAUAUUUUGAAGUGGUUAUGCUCAUCACAUAGCUGGGGUAGAUCAUGUCUUACUAUAUAAUGUAUUUCAUCGUGUCUCAAGCUUCUGUGCUUAAUGGUACUGGAGAUAUAUAAACAGGACAAAGUAUACAAGUUAGUAAUGGGCACUUCAGAUGUGAUGCCAUGUGAGGAAGCCUUGGUAUGAUACAAUAAGAGAUGGUAAUUUGAGGGAGGUCAGAAUCCAAAUUUGUAGCUACCUACCCAGAUUACUGCUAGCUUCAGUUGUAUUUCCUGGAUGUUCCCAAAAACAUAUGUGGAGAACUCUCUUCCAGUUCCACACUAUGCUUUGCUGGACUACCCAUUUAUGUUUCCCUUAGGUAUUCCAAACUUAGUCCGAUCACAUGGGCGAUGGCUGAUUGAUGGCCUCUGCUUGGUACUACACGAUAAGUUGGAACUACUGAUGCUCCAAUUGCAGCCAGGUAUUAGCUACUCUUGCCUACAUUUAUUCAGUGCACUAAUGUUUCUAAGGAAAAUAGGGACCUUUAUUGGUUAACUAUGUAAUCCAAAGAAAGAGACGCAAAACUAUCGCUAGCAAAAUGAUGCGUGAUUUGUUUUAUCCGGCAUGAGAUUUUUAUAUGAUAAUUCUUGAAACUGAGUUGAGUAGUUUGUCCUAUUCAUAGCGGGGCAGGGUUCAAAUCUCAAGCAUGUUUUUUUAUUUGCAAUGAAAUCUGUUUGAGUGCACUUUUUAUACAUUCCAGCUUCAAAUUACAUCUGCUCUAUAAGAAUGCAUUUUUUUCGUACUUCAAAUUCUAGCUUCACAUUAUGCAGUUCUUUUGCAUGAUGCAAACAUUGAGGGUAUUAUUGACACAUACACCAAUGCCAGUAAAAAUUAUCAGACAUGAGGGGAUAUUUGACAUUACUGUUCUUUGAUUCGUGCCUCUCGGCCAAAGGGGAUGAGAUGGGUUGUGCAUAGACUCGUGUUUUACAAUUUUCUUUACAUCCGUUCAUUACAUGGAGAUCUAGAAAUUUGGUUUGUGUGUAGAAUUGCUGUUUUAAAAUCUUUGAUUCGUGACUCUCGGACAAAUUUUGUUGAUGUUUUGUUAUAAAUUUUUGUUCCUCUGAUUUGUCUCCCGUUUCCUGCAAUUCGGUUCCUACACAAUCAGUUGCAUUCUUAUUAUGAAAUUAAUGUGUUGUAGUUUAUCAAUACCACCUGAAUUAGACCAUCUGAUUCAAGAUAGUAGCAUACUAGAAGAAAAGUACUUUCUGGGGAUCUAGAAAUGUUUCACUGGAUUAUGACUUGACCAGAGAUUCAGGGUACAAACACAAAUUGAAGAGAUUUUUCAAGAACUUGAUUAUGUUUACCAACUCAAGGAUGGUGAUUAUAUGGCUAUUUCUAUAAUGUCGCGCAGUUCAGCGUUCCUCUGGUCGCCCGCUUUAUGCCAUUGAUGUUUUCCUUUUCUAUAUCUAGAACUGCUGUUUCAAUUGGGUUUGUCAAGGUUUGACAUGCUUGUGGUGGUUAAUAUCUAGAAUUGUUUCAUGAACUAAUAUUAUUUUUAUCCAAACUUUAAGCCUUUUCUUAAUCCUCAUGUAAAAAGAUGGCCACGUCGGCGGCGCUAUGUGGCAACCAUAUCCGCAAGAACCGCACCCGCCGCAGGUAGGAACGCGCUACUGCACCUCGAGUCACACUAAACGGGGGUGCAACCCAUCAUGUAUAGCUUCAACUCUAUUCUCAUGGACACUUCUAUCAUAACAUUCAGAUACACUUUUCAGGCAUUACAAGGUCAUAUUUGCUCUUUGUAGUUCGAUCAUUAGUUUCAUUUAGUCUAUGAUUUAUCUCAUUGGCUUUUGGAUUAGUCCAGAUUAUACUCCUCCUUCCCUAAAUAUAAGUCUUUUUAGAUAUUUUAAUAAGGACUACACAUGGAUGUAUAUAGACAUAUUGUCAAAUGUAGAUUCACUCAUUUUGCUGCGUAUGUAGUCCCCAUUUGGAAUCUCAGAAAAGACUUAUAUUUCGGAAUGGAGGGAGUAUUAUUUUAGUUUGGUCAUUGAUUAAGAUUUUCGCUUCAGUAUUAAUUAAAUGAAUGGCUAGCUCUCUGCAUCGUGUGUCGUACUCUUGCAGUUUCAAAAUCUUUGACUCAUGGCUCCCGGCCAAAGGGGAUCAGAUGAGUUGUACAUGUCUAAUAUUUCAGAAGAAGUCUUGCCAUCAAUUAAGUGCUUCUCUUUGUCUUCAUAGUAUUUUCAGGUAGAGUACACAGAGGGCAGAAGUACAUUGACGGAAAUGAUGACACCCUUUCACUGAAGUUGACGGAAAUGAUGACACCCUUCCACUGAAGCUCGCAGACGGCACCGUGAACUGCGACAAUCGCUUCAUGUUUGAAACCGGCAAGAGGGCCACCAUCACGACGGAUUGAUCAUGGUUUCGUCACCAUGCUAACAUCCAGGAGGGCGACAUCUGCGCCUUCCAUUUCAAGCGCAAGGAAAGGCAUAAGGUCAUCACAUCGUCUCUCCCUCACCGUCCAUCGCAUCGUCUGUAGGCAUAAGGUCAUCAGCAGGAUAUGUAUGAACCGUCUAUCGUCUUUAGCUUAUCUCAAUGCUGUGCUCUAUCAUUCACCUUGUAAUACUCUGCCCUAUCUUAUAAUAUGCACCUACUACCUCUUAUAUGUAUGAUGAUCGAACACUUUUCUCCUAA
Molecule: non-coding RNA, 3200 nt
Organism: Triticum urartu
Lineage: Eukaryota; Viridiplantae; Streptophyta; Magnoliopsida; Poales; Poaceae
Source: RefSeq, a predicted model, not a curated record